Macrobrachium nipponense is the source of this 1871-nucleotide long non-coding RNA. RefSeq lists it as uncharacterized. The record is from RefSeq and is a predicted model, not a curated record. The transcript has 3 exons. NCBI's taxonomy places the organism in Eukaryota, Metazoa, Arthropoda, Malacostraca, Decapoda, Palaemonidae.
UGUUACCAUUGUUUAACUGUGUGCAAGGUGCUUCUAGCUGACGACGAUACCACUAGGCCUAGUGGUCAUUGUCAGUGUAACAGUGAAGCAGUGUCGUACAAAAACCAGUUAACUAGAUAUAGUGUGAAUCUCUUAUUGAAAAAUUCAUUGGCAUUGAGUGAUAAUUGUUCAGAAUUGGACGCUUGCUAAUAUUUAUCGGCGAGUAUUGAAAAUAAGCGUGAUUCAGUUACCCCAUGAGAUAUCUCUUACUGGGAGAACCGAGUGGGCAAUUGUCUGUGAUUCCUUCAUGAACACCAGUUUAAAACUUAAUUAACCGCUACGAAAAGAAGUUUCCAGCUGUGAAAACACUUCAGAAUGAAGGCCUUGAGCAGAACUAUCUCAAAUUUUUCAUUUUUAUGAUGCUUACAUGACUAUUUUUCUUACGAAAGAUUAGCCAUCUCGUCUCUCUUACAACGUAGGCCUACAAUUAAGCAGACGUUUAUUAAAGGAUUUAUGAGUAACAAUACAUACAACAUGACAAAGUUUUCCGACUGCGUCAAGAUAGUGGGCUUCCUUUGUGUGAGCCUACUGUUCAUGGUGAAUGUCUCGUAUGUGUCGCUGAAUCCUAAAUCUACAUUUUGGUUUACACCCAUCAUAUCCUUCAGUUUUAUGGUGUUGCUAUGUCCCCGAAUUUCGCGGGACCCUAGAGACUACGAUAGACAGCAACACGAAGAAAUAACUCGAUACGGAACGAUCUCCAAGAUCGAUCGACCGCCAUCAUACUCUUCCAUCGCCGUCGAAGCUGAGGUCAUCGACAAGUUCCCUCAUCCGGACGAGAGAUCCGGAGAGGUCGUCGUAUCAAAGGAGAGAGAUCAGGAUGUGUCUCAAGAUGGGUUGCCAACGUUCGAGGAAGCGAUGCUGAGAGAAGUGGUUUGACAACCGAUGAAUAAAUUAAAGGAAUAGAGAGUAUAUAUGGUAAAAAAAAAAAAGUCGAGGAAGCCAUGUUGAAAGAAAUGGCUUGAAAAUCGGUAAAUAAUAGACUGGAAUAGAAAGUGUUUACGGUGGAAUAAAACUGAAGAGUUAUGGUACUAUCAUGUGACAACUCUACACAUCGCGCUUCCACAGACCACGAUUCCCACACGUUCGAAAAAGGAAGAAGAUUUAAGUAACAAAAAUUAAUAUACAUUCAAUUACAAUACAUAGAUCUGAAUGUAUAUAAUCAAUAGCACUAAAUGGCACUGAUUUCUGGCAUCAAAUUGGGCCAUUUCUCUUAUCAAUUGUACCUGUCCCAUCAUCUGCAAGCUAGGCCUAUAUAUCUUUUCUAGAUGGAUUUGUCGAUGUCACCGGCAUUUUUUUUAUUUACUUUUUCUUAUGUUGGGGACCACAGCUGUUCUGAGACCUGCCAAUUAUUGAUGCUUCUGUGACAUUUUUUCUUAUCCAUGCUAAGGUUUUGAAGCAAACGUUGACGCAUGCUAAAAUCAAUUGAAACAGUUACAUAAAAGGUGAAAAAUUUAGUAGGAAACUUUUCUGAAUUGUCAAAAACAGGCGACAGAUUUUCUGUUUACAUAUUGCUGUUAAAUGAAUGAUAACAAAAUGUAUUUCUGUCACUCCCUCGGACGCACGAGAAUUUAUGCAUGCAACUAUUAUGAAAUAAAUAAAGUGUGAGAGUAUAAAAUAAAUCAGAUCGAAAUAUGAAGCAUCAAACCAAUUGUCCUUUAUUGAAAAUGGCUCAAAAACUUUGAGAUACAAUAUUUUUUUAUUUAUCUCAAAGCUGCCAUGAAAUUGCAUUAAAUAAAGCAUAAAAAGAACAUGAUAAAAAUUUAAAAAAAUGUGUUUUCUCGAACAUGAAACUUUUAUAUUGGAAAAACUAUAUAAUAAAGAAUUCUGGAAAU